AUUGAACGCUGGCGGCAUGCUUUACACAUGCAAGUCGAACGGCAGCGCGGGCUUCGGCCUGGCGGCGAGUGGCGAACGGGUGAGUAAUGCAUCGGAACGUGCCCAGUAGUGGGGGAUAGCCCGGCGAAAGCCGGAUUAAUACCGCAUACUACCUGAGGGUGAAAGCGGGGGACCGAAAGGCCUCGCGCUCUUGGAGCGGCCGAUGUCGGAUUAGCUAGUUGGUGGGGUAAAGGCUUACCAAGCCGACGAUCCGUAGCUGGUCUGAGAGGACGACCAGCCACACUGGGACGGAGACACGGCCCAGACUCCUACGGGAGGCAGCAGUGGGGAAUUUUGGACAAUGGGGGCAACCCUGAUCCAGCCAUGCCGCGUGCGGGAAGAAGGCCUUCGGGUUGUAAACCGCUUUUGUUCGGGAAGAAAUCCUCUGGGCUAAUACCCCGGGGGGAUGACGGUACCGGAAGAAUAAGCACCGGCUAACUACGUG
This 484-nucleotide ribosomal RNA is filed under the name uncultured bacterium. RNAcentral's name for it is "partial 16S ribosomal RNA". It matches the Rfam family "Bacterial small subunit ribosomal RNA", at positions 28 to 507 of the family's 1533-position model. The record is from RNAcentral.